GGCUUCGUAGCUCAGAUGGUUAGAGCGCUGCAGGCGGCCGCCGGCAACACGACAGAGGUCGCGGGUUCGAAUCCCGCCGAAGCCA
This 85-nucleotide transfer RNA is filed under the name Arthrobacter sp. zg-Y1110. Its description in RNAcentral is "tRNA-OTHER". It matches the Rfam family "tRNA". From Rfam's summary of the family: Transfer RNA (tRNA) molecules are approximately 80 nucleotides in length. Their secondary structure includes four short double-helical elements and three loops (D, anti-codon, and T loops). The record is from RNAcentral. Lineage: Bacteria; Bacillati; Actinomycetota; Actinomycetes; Micrococcales; Micrococcaceae.